Molecule: ribosomal RNA, 1914 nt
Filed under: Staphylococcus aureus
Lineage: Bacteria; Bacillati; Bacillota; Bacilli; Caryophanales; Staphylococcaceae
Description: 23S ribosomal RNA
Rfam family: Bacterial large subunit ribosomal RNA
Source: RNAcentral
GUGUUCGAAAGGGAAACAGCCCAGACCACCAGCUAAGGUCCCAAAAUAUAUGUUAAGUGGAAAAGGAUGUGGCGUUGCCCAGACAACUAGGAUGUUGGCUUAGAAGCAGCCAUCAUUUAAAGAGUGCGUAAUAGCUCACUAGUCGAGUGACACUGCGCCGAAAAUGUACCGGGGCUAAACAUAUUACCGAAGCUGUGGAUUGUCCUUUGGACAAUGGUAGGAGAGCGUUCUAAGGGCGUUGAAGCAUGAUCGUAAGGACAUGUGGAGCGCUUAGAAGUGAGAAUGCCGGUGUGAGUAGCGAAAGACGGGUGAGAAUCCCGUCCACCGAUUGACUAAGGUUUCCAGAGGAAGGCUCGUCCGCUCUGGGUUAGUCGGGUCCUAAGCUGAGGCCGACAGGCGUAGGCGAUGGAUAACAGGUUGAUAUUCCUGUACCACCUAUAAUCGUUUUAAUCGAUGGGGGGACGCAGUAGGAUAGGCGAAGCGUGCGAUUGGAUUGCACGUCUAAGCAGUAAGGCUGAGUAUUAGGCAAAUCCGGUACUCGUUAAGGCUGAGCUGUGAUGGGGAGAAGACAUUGUGUCUUCGAGUCGUUGAUUUCACACUGCCGAGAAAAGCCUCUAGAUAGAAAAUAGGUGCCCGUACCGCAAACCGACACAGGUAGUCAAGAUGAGAAUUCUAAGGUGAGCGAGCGAACUCUCGUUAAGGAACUCGGCAAAAUGACCCCGUAACUUCGGGAGAAGGGGUGCUCUUUAGGGUUAACGCCCAGAAGAGCCGCAGUGAAUAGGCCCAAGCGACUGUUUAUCAAAAACACAGGUCUCUGCUAAACCGUAAGGUGAUGUAUAGGGGCUGACGCCUGCCCGGUGCUGGAAGGUUAAGAGGAGUGGUUAGCUUCUGCGAAGCUACGAAUCGAAGCCCCAGUAAACGGCGGCCGUAACUAUAACGGUCCUAAGGUAGCGAAAUUCCUUGUCGGGUAAGUUCCGACCCGCACGAAAGGCGUAACGAUUUGGGCACUGUCUCAACGAGAGACUCGGUGAAAUCAUAGUACCUGUGAAGAUGCAGGUUACCCGCGACAGGACGGAAAGACCCCGUGGAGCUUUACUGUAGCCUGAUAUUGAAAUUCGGCACAGCUUGUACAGGAUAGGUAGGAGCCUUUGAAACGUGAGCGCUAGCUUACGUGGAGGCGCUGGUGGGAUACUACCCUAGCUGUGUUGGCUUUCUAACCCGCACCACUNAUCGUGGUGGGAGACAGUGUCAGGCGGGCAGUUUGACUGGGGCGGUCGCCUCCUAAAAGGUAACGGAGGCGCUCAAAGGUUCCCUCAGAAUGGUUGGAAAUCAUUCAUAGAGUGUAAAGGCAUAAGGGAGCUUGACUGCGAGACCUACAAGUCGAGCAGGGUCGAAAGACGGACUUAGUGAUCCGGUGGUUCCGCAUGGAAGGGCCAUCGCUCAACGGAUAAAAGCUACCCCGGGGAUAACAGGCUUAUCUCCCCCAAGAGUUCACAUCGACGGGGAGGUUUGGCACCUCGAUGUCGGCUCAUCGCAUCCUGGGGCUGUAGUCGGUCCCAAGGGUUGGGCUGUUCGCCCAUUAAAGCGGUACGCGAGCUGGGUUCAGAACGUCGUGAGACAGUUCGGUCCCUAUCCGUCGUGGGCGUAGGAAAUUUGAGAGGAGCUGUCCUUAGUACGAGAGGACCGGGAUGGACAUACCUCUGGUGUACCAGUUGUCGUGCCAACGGCAUAGCUGGGUAGCUAUGUGUGGACGGGAUAAGUGCUGAAAGCAUCUAAGCAUGAAGCCCCCCUCAAGAUGAGAUUUCCCAACUUCGGUUAUAAGAUCCCUCAAAGAUGAUGAGGUUAAUAGGUUCGAGGUGGAAGCAUGGUGACAUGUGGAGCUGACGAAUACUAAUCGAUCGAAGACUUAAUCAA